GAGCACGUAGGUGGGUUUGUAAGUCGGUUGUGAAAGACCAGGUCUAACACGUGGAAAGUCAGCCGAAACUGUAUACCUGGAGGCUGGUAGGGGAGAGUAGAAUUCCUGGUGGAGCGGUGAAAUGCGUUGAUAUCAUGAGGAAUAUCGGAGGCGAAGGCGACUCUCUGGGCCAGUCCUGACGCUGAGGUGCGAAAGCCAGGGGAGCGAACGGGAUUAGAUACCCCGGUAGUCCUGGCCGUAAACGAUGGGCACUAAGUAGAGGGGUUUU
Molecule: ribosomal RNA, 268 nt
Filed under: uncultured bacterium
Lineage: Bacteria
Description: partial large subunit ribosomal RNA
Rfam family: Bacterial small subunit ribosomal RNA
Source: RNAcentral